UCCUCAUAGGGAAGAUGCUCCAGGCCCCAUAUCAUCUUUGUGGCCCUCCGCUGGACUCUUUCCAGGAGAUCCCUGUCUUUUUUGUACCGGGGAGCCCAGAACUGGACACAGUACUCCAGGUGAGGCCUGACCAGGACAGAGUAGAGGGGGAGGAUCACCUCCCUUGACCUGCUGGCCACGCUCCUUUUAAUGCACGCCAGGAUCCCAUUGGCCCUCUUGGCCACGAGGGCACACUGCUGUCGUCCACCAGGACCCCCAGGUCCUUCUCCUCAGAGCUCCUCUCCAGCAGGUUGUCCCCCAGCCUGUACUGAUACGUCCGGUUGUUCCUUCCCAGGUGCAGGACUCUACACUUGCUCUUAUUAAACCUCAUUUGGUUUCUUCCCGCCCAUCUUUCCAGCCUGUCCAGGUCUCGCUGAAUGGCAGCACAGCCUUCUGGCGUGUCAGCCACUCCUCACAGCUUUGUGUCAUCGGCAUACUUGCUGAGGGCAGACAUUAUUCCCUCAUCAAGAUCAUCGCUGAAGAUGUUGAACAAGAGCGGACCCAGCACCGACCCCUGGGGAACGCUGCUAGUCACAGGUCUCCAGCCGGACUCUGUGCUGCCAAUCACCACCCUCUGAGCUCGGCCAGUCAGCCAGUUCUCAACCCACCUAACUGUCCACUCCUCUAUCCCACACUUUCUCAGCUUUGCUAUGAGGAUGUCAUGGGAGACAGUAUUGAAAGCCUUGCUAAAGUCAAGGUAGAUGACAUCCACUGCUCUCCCCCCAUCUACCCAGCUGGUGAUGCCAUCAUAGAAGGCAAUGAGGUUGGUCGAGCACGACUUCCCCUUGGUGAAUCCAUGCUGACUACUCCUCAUAACAUUCUUCUCUUCCAAUUGCUUGGAGAUGGCAUCCAGAACAAGCUGUUCCAACACCUUUCCAGGGACAGAGGUGAGACUGACUGGCCUGUAGUUUCCCAGAUCCUCCUUCUUGCCCUUCUUGAAGACCGGAGUUACAUUGGCUAUCCUCCAGUCUUCAGGCACCUCUCCUGUUCUCCAGGACUUUUCAAAGAUGAUAGAGUCUUGCAUUCAAUAAUUUUAAAAGAGUUAGCUUGAGAGCUCUCUAGACAAUU
RNAcentral lists this long non-coding RNA (1107 nucleotides) under Anser brachyrhynchus (Pink-footed goose). Its description in RNAcentral is "lncRNA (ENSABRG00000003302.1)". Lineage: Eukaryota; Metazoa; Chordata; Aves; Anseriformes; Anatidae. The record is from RNAcentral.